GAUGAAGAACGUAGCGAAAUGCGAUAAGUAAUGUGAAUUGCAGAAUUCAGUGAAUCAUCGAAUCUUUGAACGCACAUUGCGCCCCUUGGUAUUCCGAGGGGCAUGCCUGUUCGAGCGUCAUUACACCACUCAAGCUAUGCUUGGUAUUGGGCGUCGUCCUUAGUUGGGCGCGCCUUAAAGACCUCGGCGAGGCCACUCCGGCUUUAGGCGUAGUAGAAUUUAUUCGAACGUCUGUCAAAGGAGAGGAACUCUGCCGACUGAAACCUUUAUUUUUCUAGGUUGACCUCGGAUCAGGUAGGGAUACCCGCUGAACUUAAGCAUAUCAAUAAGGGGAGGA
Molecule: unclassified non-coding RNA, 337 nt
Filed under: soil metagenome
Description: partial contains 5.8S ribosomal RNA, internal transcribed spacer 2, and large subunit ribosomal RNA
Rfam family: 5.8S ribosomal RNA (bases 1-120)
Source: RNAcentral